Molecule: ribosomal RNA, 460 nt
Filed under: uncultured bacterium
Lineage: Bacteria
Description: bacterial SSU rRNA
Rfam family: Bacterial small subunit ribosomal RNA
Source: RNAcentral
ACGCGCAGAACCUUACCAACCCUUGACAUCCUUGGACCGUCGCAGAGAUGCGUCUUUCUCGUAAGAGACCAAGUGACAGGUGCUGCAUGGCUGUCGUCAGCUCGUGUCGUGAGAUGUUCGGUUAAGUCCGGCAACGAGCGCAACCCACACCCUUAGUUGCCAUCAUUCAGUUGGGCACUCUAGGGGAACUGCCCGUGAUAAGCGGGAGGAAGGUGUGGAUGACGUCAAGUCCUCAUGGCCCUUACGGGUUGGGCUACACACGUGCUACAAUGGUAGUGACAAUGGGUUAAUCCCAAAAAGCUAUCUCAGUUCGGAUUGGGGUCUGCAACUCGACCCCAUGAAGUCGGAAUCGCUAGUAAUCGCGUAACAGCAUGACGCGGUGAAUACGUUCCCGGGCCUUGUACACACCGCCCGUCACACCAUGGGAGUUGGGUCUACCCGAAGGCGGUGCGCCAACCUU